Molecule: long non-coding RNA, 1888 nt
Organism: Hemicordylus capensis (graceful crag lizard)
Lineage: Eukaryota; Metazoa; Chordata; Lepidosauria; Squamata; Cordylidae
Exons: 6
Source: RefSeq, a predicted model, not a curated record
GUUAGAGCCUGGAUUUCUUGUUCAUACAAGGCCAGUAUUUCAUUACCGAAUGUGUACUAUAUUGACAUUAGCCUGAUUUAUCCAUGAAAGUGUGCAUGGAAAUACCCACAGAAGAAAGGCAGGGCAAAGAAUUCAAACACAUUUCACACAAAAGACUUGUGAACAAGAGCAGAUAUGGACAGCUCACAUUCUGCAACAGGUUAUGGUGCCCGGACUUCUUCAGAACAACCCAGUGUGCAGCCCAGAAUGACCAUGAAGGGCAAAUGACCUUGAAGCAGCCUGGGAAAAGCAGAAGCCACAAGGAGACCCUCUGAGAAGAAGCCUGCUGAAUACAAUACUUCUGACAGAUCGUGCCGACUGUAACAAUUUGGUGAGCACAGCAGACAUCUGACAUCUGAUUAUCAUGUAGCAACAGUCGUCCACUGGGCAUGGCAUCACCAGCUGUUCCUCUCUUUUGUAUCUGAACCUGCCAUGUCUGUCUUGCCUUCAGAUUCUGCAUCAGGAAGAAAAUGUGAGCAGUAAACUAGACAUAUUAUGCAGUGAUGGGCAAGCCCCAGCAGCUCCAUCAGAAUUUGCUCAGAUAACACAAUUCCCUCCCGCACAAUCAGAAUUUAAAUGUUUUCUUUCUGAGCCCAUUCCUGCUUUCUGCAACACUGUUACAAGCAGCAUCCCAGGUGCCAGGAACUCCAUAGCUACAUUCCCCAUAUGCUGCUGUGGCAGCAUUCUAGAGUAUAAUCAUCCCCAUCCCUCCCCAAUAGGAGGAUGGGGAUCAGUUUAUAUCUGAGGGAAUGGGGUGGUGAUGGGGCAACAGGGAGAGUCCAUUCUAAACUUUGAGUCUGAACUGGGAAGAUUAUGUGAUCAGUUCACAAUGGGCUCAGGGCAGGGUGAGUUUCUAAACACAAUGCAUACAUUCUUAUUCCAAGGCUGAAUUCCAAAAUUCAGUGGCCAAGGUGAUGUGCACUGUUACAAGGGCAAUGCACACUGUGGCACUGCUGUUGUGGAACCAGAAGGAUGUUAAUGCUGAUGGGCAGCCGUGCAAGUAGUGUCCCUGCACUUUUCCCCAUUGGGCCAAACAGAGGAAAGUGCCGGGACUCUGCACAACUGCACAUCAUUAUUUCAGUUGUGUUUACCUCUCGUUUAUUGAACUUGUCCUUCAACAGUAAUGUGAAAAUUAGUCCAUAGAGACCUGGUAUUUAAUAGAUCGCCCAUAGUUGACACAUUAAGGGACAACAUUCAUUGUAACUGGUUAAGAACUGGGGUGAUGUUCAUAUUUAAACUCCAUGGCUGACCUUUAGACUAAUGAAGUGUGUGUGCAGCGACACUUUGUUUUCCAGGAGUCACACCAGCUACAGAGGGAAGGAGAGUUCCCCCUCCCGCGGAGUGCAUGCUGCAUAUUUGCUGCACAUACAGAUGUUGGCCAUUAUAUUUAAAAGAUUAACUGAAACAGAUGAAGUGAUGAUGUAUUCCAUGGAAUUUGGAAGAAUUUCAUAGAGUUAUAUACGCUGAGAUGGUUAUGUGGAAACCGGCAUUCUCUCACACUGGAUCCUUUACACUGCAAGGAUGAUGGAGAAAAUGGAGAUGAAGCACACAUUGAAAAGUGUACAAAUGCUACAUGAGAUUGUUAAAAGGAUGCAUUUUACAAGAACUACUUAACUUGCUUCAAUCAAAUGAGGAAAGUAGGUACCUCUGACUAUUUUAAAAUUUAAAAAAACUGAAAUCUUGGGAGAACUUGGAUUUCUUAAAUAAACAGUAAUCUACUUGAAAUCUUUGACCUCCCUAUCCCUCUCAUUUCCUUUUUGUCAUGUAUCUGCUUUUUAGAUUGUAAGCUUGUGAGCUGGGCUUUGUGCUCUUUUAUAUUAUUGUACAGCAUCUUGUCUUUUUUAGUAAC